Long non-coding RNA from Neofelis nebulosa (Clouded leopard), 1890 nucleotides. RefSeq lists it as uncharacterized. NCBI's taxonomy places the organism in Eukaryota, Metazoa, Chordata, Mammalia, Carnivora, Felidae. The record is from RefSeq and is a predicted model, not a curated record. The transcript is spliced from 2 exons.
CAGGCUUUUCUGGGUUUUCUCUUUAAGGAAAGUUUGGGGAGUAUCCAAGACUCUGAACCUUGCACAACCCAGCUUGUGAGGGCUGGCCAGCAGUGCUCCCACCAUUCUUCCUGUUCCUGCACUCACUGCAAAAAGCUGGGCCUCCUCCCAGUGCUUUCCAGAGAAGCUUGUCUUAUUUGAUCUGGAAUCACGUGGGUGGUCCAUUUCAGAAUGCAAAUAAAAAGAAACGUGAAUGGAAACCCAUCUUCCUGGGAUAGGGUGCCGCCAACUCUGGGCCGUGUCACCCUGAGGUCCAGGCCACUGCUGAAGCGAGCUGGAUGAAUUUACAUGAGAAGCCCAAGGAAACUGUUUCCCCAAAUGCAAAGUUAGAGAGACUUAGUGUGCUUGACCAGAUCAGUCCUGACCAGGGCCCUGUGGUAACGAAACUCCUAAAACUUAAAAAAGCAAGCAAACAAACAAAAACGGUUGAGAGAAGGGCUCAACCAUCAGGAGGCUAAUUUCAGUCCGUCCAUGGCUUGUGCUGAGAUGUAAAAAGUCCCUCCAGACCCUACCAUUCUGUCUCUCAGAAGGUGCUAAGGGAGGCAAGGGGCUGAAGCUAGGACUCACAACACUGAGUGGUGACCUUGGAAACCCAGAAGGGUGCCUUCUUGGCCAAGCUUAGUGCUCAAGGAGUGCAAAACCCUUGAUGAUGCACUAGAUUUUGCACAAAGGGCAUGAGUUUUAAUUUCAAAAUGCAGGCUUGGGUAUCGUAGAGUGAAAGCAAACAGGGACACACGACGUGCAUUUUCAAUACUCCUACUUAGUGAAAGCUGGUGAGAACAUUUUCAUUCUUUUUAAACAAAGGCAAGCAGUUCAACUACUUUCUGGGUGUCCAUCCACCUCAAGGUAGAGAAUCUCAGUCCCUCAUGAGGGAGGGAACUAUUCCUUAAGCCCCGAAAACAGCAAGGGCUGAGGGCGGGGCUCUAUCACCUGGCCACUACUAUGCAACAUAUACACUUUCUCCCCGGGCCAUCAUGGAUUCCAAAGGCAAUAUAAGAUCCUCACAAAGACAGGGAGUUCUUAUCUUGUGAGUUAUUUAAGCAAUAUGAUGAGCAAAGUCUUUCAGAUCAUUUGCAAUGUUAUUCUUGGAUAACUUGAUGUUUGUUCAUCAGCCUUAAUAACUUUAUUAUAUGAACUCCUGGCAUUCAUGAAAUGGUGCGUGACCUCCUAACCGGUGGUAUGACCAAUUAUUUCAUUCACGCCACGAACUUUUAUUGACCACCUACUACAGGCCAGGAGCUACACUAGGGUCUGGCAAUAUAAUGAUAGAAGACAGGUCCCUGACCUCAAGAUACCUAAUAGAUAUUAAGAGAUAAUAGAAAAAAUAUAUAUUGGUCUCUGCCCCGGCUCCUGACGCAAGGCUCCCGAAACCUUUGUAAUUUCCUAAGUGAUAAGAACACUAGGAACUUCCUUUGUUGUAAUAUUUGGUCGUUGACUUGAGCUACUGACAUAGGAUUUCUGAAACCCUUGUAUUUCCUCGGUUAAUAAUAGUGUCUUUUUUUCUCCGUGGGGUCCUGGAUGGCUCCUGGAUGAGAGCUGGUAUUGGAAAGAGCAAGCUGUGAUUAGAAACUUGGAAUUUUCAGCCCUUCCCCUCCCCCAUUCUCUUGAGAUGGAAGAAGGCUGAAAGUAGAAUUAGUGACUGAUUAUGCCUAUAUUAUGAAGCCUCCACAAAAUCCCAGUAAGAUGGGAUUUGGGGAGCUACUCCAUUGGCAAACACAUCCACCCUGGGAGGGUGGUGAACCUCCAACUCCAAAGGACAGAAGCUCCUGCACUCAGGACCCUCCCAGACCUCGCCCUAUGUAUCUAUUCAUCUACAUCCUUUAUUUAUAUUUUAAUAAACUGAUAAAUGUG